RNAcentral lists this ribosomal RNA (430 nucleotides) under uncultured bacterium. Its description in RNAcentral is "partial 16S ribosomal RNA". It matches the Rfam family "Bacterial small subunit ribosomal RNA", at positions 31 to 507 of the family's 1533-position model. The record is from RNAcentral.
GAACGCUGGCGGCAUGCCUAACACAUGCAAGUCGAACGAGAUCUUCGGAUCUAGUGGCGCACGGGUGCGUAACGCGUGGGAAUCUGCCCCUUGCUUCGGAAUAACAGUGAGAAAUUACUGCUAAUACCGGAUGAUGUCUUCGGACCAAAGAUUUAUCGGCAAGGGAUGAGCCCGCGUAGGAUUAGGUAGUUGGUGGGGUAAUGGCCUACCAAGCCGACGAUCCUUAGCUGGUCUGAGAGGAUGAUCAGCCACACUGGGACUGAGACACGGCCCAGACUCCUACGGGAGGCAGCAGUGGGGAAUAUUGGACAAUGGGCGAAAGCCUGAUCCAGCAAUGCCGCGUGAGUGAUGAAGGCCUUAGGGUUGUAAAGCUCUUUUACCAGGGAUGAUAAUGACAGUACCUGGAGAAUAAGCUCCGGCUAACUCCGUG